UUAUGUCUUCCUUGUGUCAGAAUGAUUUCUAAUACACGUUCAUGUAUUAUCAUAUUCAGGGAAUAUGUCCUACAUCAUCCCUCUUUUCAUUUAGGAACUUUAUUUCUGAAGUUCAAGAACAACAACAUAAACCUCACCUCACUUAUUUUUAACUUACCCCCGUUAUUUCUGUUCUUACAGCGUUCUUUGUUAUUACCCCAAUAGCUGGCUAGCUUGGUUCUUGCCGGCUGAACGUUACUGUAAUUAUUUUUGGACUGCUGAAGCCUCGCCUUGCUUACCUGGUACUGUUGUUUAUUUGUUUUAGUGACUGGCAGUUCUGACCCCUCUAUCUGCAGGGACGGCUCCUCGCUUGCUACUGCAUAAGUCAUAUCUGCAGCUGCUGCGUCUUUCCUAUGGAAACUCCCUAUUUUACAGGACCAGAUUUCUCAUGCCUUAUCCACUAUCACAUCCAUUGGGGAAGCAGAGUUCACAACCAAACUGGCUAACUCUCCUAUCACUGGAUCAGGGGUUCACUUUUCUUGAGAGAUGUGUGCUGGCUAUCAGGGAGGUGACAGGAGUUCAUUUUUCUUGAGAGAUGUGUGCUGGCUAUCAAGAAGGUGACAGAGGAGUUCAUUUCUCUGGAGAGAUGUGUGCUGGCUAUCAGGGAGGUGACAGGAGUUCAUUUUUCUUGAGAGAUGUGUGCUGGCUAUCAGGAAGGUGACAGAAGAGUUCAUUUCUCUGGAGAGAUGUGUGCUGGCAAUUGGGGAGGUGGGGGGUUGUCAGAACAAGCAUGACUCUUGUAUGAGUGGCACCAUUGUUGCUAUUUUUUGAGUGACACAUACCUUGUGACGAAUGUUAUUGAAAUGGAAACCUUUGAAUGUUUUUACUGCAACUCUUCACAAUAGUGUGCACCUCAGUGUUCAGAAAGUAAUCCAGCUCUCUUCUUUCAGAGUCUGUGAGCCACACCCUUAAAUCAGAAUGGAAGUGGAUCCUCGGCUCAGCAGAGAACACACUAUAAACAGGUUCGGAAGCAUUUAAACUAGAAAGGAAGGGGGGAGAAAUCAACAAAAAAACAGAAGGGAGACCGCAUCAAAA
This is a long non-coding RNA of Polyodon spathula (Mississippi paddlefish), 1074 nucleotides long. RefSeq lists it as uncharacterized. The record is from RefSeq and is a predicted model, not a curated record. NCBI's taxonomy places the organism in Eukaryota, Metazoa, Chordata, Actinopteri, Acipenseriformes, Polyodontidae. The transcript is spliced from 3 exons.